UUAGAGUUUGAUCCUGGCUCAGGAUGAACGCUAGCGGCAGGCUUAACACAUGCAAGUCGAGGGGCAGCGAGGGUGAUAGCAAUAUUACCUGUCGGCGACCGGCGCACGGGUGCGUAACGCGUAUGCAACCUACCAUCAACAGGGGGAUAACACUGAGAAAUUGGUACUAAUACCCCAUAAUAUCUCAUGCGGCAUCGCAUGGGGUUGAAAACUCCGGUGGUUGAUGAUGGGCAUGCGUUGUAUUAGCUGGUUGGUGAGGUAACGGCUCACCAAGGCGACGAUACAUAGGGGGACUGAGAGGUUAACCCCCCACAUUGGUACUGAGACACGGACCAAACUCCUACGGGAGGCAGCAGUGAGGAAUAUUGGUCAAUGGACGCAAGUCUGAACCAGCCAUGCCGCGUGCAGGAUGACGGCUCUAUGAGUUGUAAACUGCUUUUGUACGAGGGUAAACCCCGAUACGUGUAUUGGGUUGAAAGUAUCGUACGAAUAAGGAUCGGCUAACUCCGUGCCAGCAGCCGCGGUAAUACGGAGGAUCCGAGCGUUAUCCGGAUUUAUUGGGUUUAAAGGGUGCGUAGGCGGUUUGAUAAGUUAGAGGUGAAAUGUCGGGGCUCAACCCCGAAACUGCCUCUAAUACUGUUGGACUAGAGAAUAGUUGCGGUAGGCGGAAUGUAUGGUGUAGCGGUGAAAUGCUUAGAGAUCAUACAGAACACCGAUUGCGAAGGCAGCUUACCAAACUAUAUCUGACGUUGAGGCACGAAAGCGUGGGUAGCAAACAGGAUUAGAUACCCUGGUAGUCCACGCAGUAAACGAUGAUAACUCGUUGUCGGCGAUACACAGUCGGUGACUAAGCGAAAGCGAUAAGUUAUCCACCUGGGGAGUACGUUCGCAAGAAUGAAACUCAAAGGAAUUGACGGGGGCCCGCACAAGCGGAGGAACAUGUGGUUUAAUUCGAUGAUACGCGAGGAACCUUACCCGGGCUUGAAAGUUAGCGACGACGCUUGAAAGAGCGUUUCCCUUCGGGGCGCGAAACUAGGUGCUGCAUAGUUGUCGUCAGCUCGUGCCGUGAGGUGUCGGCUUAAGUGCCAUAACGAGCGCAACCCCUGCCGACAGUUGCUAACGGGUAGAGCCGAGGACUCUGUCGGGACUGCCGGCGCAAGCCGCGAGGAAGGCGGGGAUGACGUCAAAUCAGCACGGCCCUUACGUCCGGGGCGACACACGUGUUACAAUGGCCGGUACAGCGGGAAGCCAGGCGGCGACGCCGAGCGGAACCCGAAAACCGGUCUCAGUUCGGAUCGGAGUCUGCAACCCGACUCCGUGAAGCUGGAUUCGCUAGCAAUCGCGCAUCAGCCAUGGCGCGGUGAAUACGUUCCCGGGCCUUGUACACACCGCCCGUCAAG
RNAcentral lists this ribosomal RNA (1400 nucleotides) under uncultured bacterium. Its description in RNAcentral is "bacterial SSU rRNA". It matches the Rfam family "Bacterial small subunit ribosomal RNA". The record is from RNAcentral.